Molecule: non-coding RNA, 3835 nt
Organism: Sus scrofa (pig)
Lineage: Eukaryota; Metazoa; Chordata; Mammalia; Artiodactyla; Suidae
Source: RefSeq, a predicted model, not a curated record
CCCUAAAAAGACAAACAAACAAACAAACAAACAAAACCAUGAGUUGAGGGCUGGGGAGGUCCCCAGCUGUUUGAAGGACCACCUGUUUGAAAAAAAAAAAAAAACUUGAAAAAAAGAGUAAAAGAGUAAAAGGAUUAUUUUAGGGAUAGAGCUAGCCCAGGCAAGGUACCAUCUUAAGGGAGUAAGCUGUACUGAAUUAGAAACAGGUAGAUUAGCUUUUCUUGAAAAUAUCCUUCCUAAAGAUAAUUAAGAGGAAAUGCCUGGCAUGAUGCAUUUCAUAUUUGGUGCAAGUGAGUCUGGAGACAGGGAGGCAAUUCACUGAACCCACGUACACAUCAGUUAACUUUGAUGUUACCACCCAAUGUAUACAUACUAUACAGAUUACCAUAAAGCCUUCCACUGGCUAAUGUGUCUCAGUGAUCUGAUAGACUCUUUGUGUUUACACUUUUGUUUUAAAUCACUGUCUUGUUCUGAAGUACCACAACCAUCAUCCCUACCACAUCUACCAACAAAAUCUCCAACUCAUCAGUAGUUUAUUCUAAAAACAGAAAUUUAAAACCAAAUAUCUGCUUUAUCAUCUUACCUUUUAAACUGCUAUCAUUGGACAUGCUCACAAUUCCUAAUAAGGAAAGUAAAGAUUGGUUAAACUAAUUAUUAGGUUAGAAAAGGGCAUGUCAAGAUUGGCCCACUCUACGAAAAAUGUGACUCAUUCUCAAGUUAUAUGUGUGUAUGUAUAUGUGUGUGAACAAUCUUGUUCUCAUACCUCUAAAAUGUCCACUGAGUAAUCCAGGGAUUUUCCCCUGUGAUUUCAGAACAGAGCCUUGUAUACAGCAGGUGCAUUCUACUUAACUGCACUGUAUUGAGCAUCUACCAGAAGGAGUAGGGCAAAUAAGCCUCACAGUCAAGGUUAUCCUCAAAAAACUCUUCAUUGGCUUAUGCAAUACAAUACAGGGACAGUUCUCACUGUUUUUCUCCAACAGUGGAUCUGAUUGCUGUUUUGUUUUGUUUGUUUUUGCUUGGGAACCAGAUGAAUCAGCUGGCUCUGAUGUACCCCCAAACACUUUUCUUUCAAAACUAGCCUUACAUUCAGCCCCACCUCUAAGAGGUGCAAGGGAAGUAGAACCAGCUGAGCCAACAUCAGGUCCGUCUCCUCAUCUCGCUGAUUCUGGGGCCUGUCCUCGAGUGAGUGGGUGGUUGGAAUGUCUACACUAUUCAAAGUGUUAUUUCUUUCUCUUUCUUUUGAUGGGGGAGAGACAGGCCAAGUGCACAUAGUUGAAUUUGUAUCAUAUGAUAUGUUAUGGCUCUACAGUAAAUAUUUAUUGAAUCAAUAAAUAUUUGAGAUGUUAGUAGGUAUUAUUUGAUUCAGUUGCUCUGCUAACUCUUGUCUGAAUAUAAAUUAUUUUUCUUCACUGAGAAAAAUCAAUGGUUCAAAUGGCUUUUAGAAAGAGCAAAAAAUGUGAAAAAGACUAAAAGAAGAAAUUACCAAUCACUUUAAGAAAGAAAAAAACCCCCAAACCAAAAACCCAGUCAGACUGCUUAGAUGAAAGCCUUGCCAUAAAUAUUCUAAAUUUCUUAGGGGUACAAUAUAUAGCAAUACUGGGAAUUUUAAUACCAUCACUAAUCAUUUGAAAUACUCUGACAUCCUUUCACUGUAAUAUUUGUGUAUUUGGUGGAAACGUUUUGAAAAGUCAUUCCACUAGCCAACAAAAGUCAUUUUAUAGUUAUGAUGUAAUUGUAAGGUAGUAUUUCAGGGCUGUCAAGAUCAAAGACUUGAUAUAUGACUUACAGAAAAAAAAGUUCAAGAGAGGCCCCUCCAAACAACCUUUUAAAGGAACUAACCAAUAGCAUCUCAUCUUCUGUUUUCUUUUGGCUUUUAGAACUGGAAUCAUACAAAAGAUACAUUCUCCAGAGGCACACGAAUUAAAAUUAAAGAGUGAAAAUAAAUAAUCCUAGAUGAAACUUUUCCCUUUGAUUUAAACAGUGAGAAAUUAUAUAUAUAUAUUCAGUGUAUUGGUAAUAAAAAUAGGGAAACUGUAGUCAAAUUGCGAAUUGGGCUCAAAAUGAAACCUGAAAAUGAAUGUCAUGAAAACUACUUUAAGGUUAUUGCACUGGCUGAAGGCAAUUUUUUUUAUGCUUGUACAAUAUAUGUCUAGUUUAUCUUCUUGGCCUUAUAAGCCAAAACUAGAGAUUAUCUUAAAGAAUGAAAGUCCUUUAUGUACAAUAAAACCCAAGUCAUCAUAUAAGUUUUUCUACAUUUUUGCUUACUGACCACUGCAAGUUCAGCUAUAAACAGUGAAUAGGGUCUGAGUGGACUGAGUGGAUGAAUUCAGAAAGUUGUUUAUUUUCUCCAUUGUCUAAGGUGGUAAAGAAAAGAGACAUCAAAUGGUAAUUCUCUCUUGUAGUACUGUCUGACUGCCCCAAGCUAAAAAGGGGAAAGACAGGAGUUCCCUGGUGGUUCAGUGGGUUAGGACCUGGCAUUGUCACUGCUGUGGUUUGAUCCCUGGCCUCAGAACUUCUGCAUGCCAUUGGCAUACCCCUCCGCCCAAAAUAAACAAAUAGGAAGGGGAAAGACAGAAAUCCAAACAGCAUUUGUUCAUGUAUGAAGCAUUUUUAAAUGAUGAUUUUUAAAAUCAUGAUCUACCAACCUUUUAAAAGAAAAGUAGGGAAAAGUGUUUGUGGUGCUUCCCUUCCUCCUUCUGGAUACCUCAGAGUAGGACUCCAGGCCAGCAUCCUUCAUUUGUCUUUCUUGACAGAUUUGGCGGAGAACUUCUUAAUUUUUUUGAAGACAAUGGAUCCCCGGGGGUGGAAGAAUCAACAGAAGAUCACAUCACAGGGCCAUGGCCAAGUCCAGCUGGACGUGGACCCGCCGGCCCCACGUCCAUGGAUGUAACCCAGCAGAGAGCAGAGGAUGUAGGAGAUAAAGUUUCUCUGUUCGGGAAGAGAUUGGAAACCAGCUUCAAAGGAAAGAGAGGGGCGUUGUGGUUGAGGUUUGGGUCUCUGAGAAAGACAUCAUUCCAGCCGAAACACUUAACAAACCAAACCCACAGAAUGGGAAAUUCUAGACUCUUUGGUUGAGAGCACCUGGAGCGGGGGUCUUACUGAUCUUUCUCCUCUGGGCUGCAACACUUUCGAUAUGUCUCUCACAGCUUCGGCCUGGAUUAAGCAAGGCCUUGCUUCAUUCUCGGGGGGUUUCUUCUCUGCAACCUGACCACCCCUCGCCAGGCUCUAAGCAGUUUAAAUCCAGAGGCCAUUUUUCCCUCUCCCCUGGAAUCCAUCUGAGUUAUGGCAGGUGGCAGCAUAUCCUAAAUGGGGAUGUACUUGACAAACCCGAGUUCCCUUGAAGACUCCUGCAUCCUUCUCAGAGCCCAGCAUUGUGGUGGCCUGAGGCAGAAACUCAACAAAGACCCAUCGAAUGAACAGGCAAUAAUUGACUAGAAUGGCUCUCUUCCUGGCCAGUUGGAAAACUGAAAUCCCUAUGGACUGCUUCCUGUUUUGCUACACCAGCCUCAUUUCUGGAAGAAGGCAAGGUAAGGAGAAAAUCAGACGAGAAAGGACCACGAAGGCAGGGUCUUGAAUGCAAUCUUUCCCUGAGAAAGAGAAGCUUCGGAACAGGAAACAUGCCUGCAUUUUCUUUCUCUCCCAGGCAGCCUGGUUAUUGUGUUUCUAGGCAGAAAAAGAGAUACUUCCCAGAGCAGCCCAGAGAAGAGGGUUCAGAAAAUCUGGGCCUCCAGGUGCUUUCAACCAGAGUCUAUUGGACUUUUGACCUUUUAAAUACUACAAAAAAAAAAAAAAAAGUUUUUUGUACCUUCUCAUUUAUGAAGUAUAUCCAAGUGGG